RNAcentral lists this ribosomal RNA (467 nucleotides) under uncultured bacterium. RNAcentral describes it as "partial 16S ribosomal RNA". It matches the Rfam family "Bacterial small subunit ribosomal RNA", at positions 28 to 507 of the family's 1533-position model. The record is from RNAcentral.
GACGAACGCUGGCGGCGUGCUUAACACAUGCAAGUCGAACGGAAAGGCCUAGCUUGCUGGGUACUCGAGUGGCGAACGGGUGAGUAACACGUGGGUGAUCUGCCCCUGACUUUGGGAUAAGCCUGGGAAACUGGGUCUAAUACCGGAUAUUCAUUUUUCCUCGCAUGGGGCUUUGUGGAAAGCUUUUGCGGUUGGGGAUGGGCCCGCGGCCUCUCAGCUUGUUGGUGGGGUAAUGGCCUACCAAGGCGACGGCGGGAUGCCGACCUGAGAGGGUGAGCGGACACACUGGGACUGAAACAAGGCCCAGACCACUAGGGGAGGGAGGAGUGGGGAAUAUUGUACAAUGGGAGCAAGGCUGAUGCAGCGAAGCCGCGUGGGGGAUGACGGGCUUGGGGUUGUAAACCUAUUUCAGCUCAGACGAAGCGCAAGUGACGGUAGGAGCAGAAGAAGCACCGGCCAACUACGUG